This 30-nucleotide non-coding RNA is filed under the name Mus musculus (house mouse). RNAcentral also lists the same sequence under 1 other name. The record is from RNAcentral. Lineage: Eukaryota; Metazoa; Chordata; Mammalia; Rodentia; Muridae.
UAACAUUGUAGACAGGCACAAAGAUCCCCU